Non-coding RNA from Triticum aestivum (bread wheat), 149 nucleotides. The record is from Rfam. Lineage: Eukaryota; Viridiplantae; Streptophyta; Magnoliopsida; Poales; Poaceae.
CUGUUACUCCCUCCGUUCGGAAUUACUUGUCGCAGAAAUGAAUGUAUCUAGACGAAUUACUUGUCGCAGAAAUGAAUGUAUCUAGACGUAUUUUAGUUCUAGAUACAUCCAUUUUUGAGACAAGUAAUUCCGAACGGAGGGAGUAGUAA